This 3042-nucleotide ribosomal RNA is filed under the name Triticum aestivum (bread wheat). Its description in RNAcentral is "partial small subunit ribosomal RNA". The record is from RNAcentral. Lineage: Eukaryota; Viridiplantae; Streptophyta; Magnoliopsida; Poales; Poaceae.
ACGGAUCGCUACUUUAGCUUGCAGCACCGGUGAGGGUCUGGUAGGGUUAAGGGUUGGACGGCGACCACGAUCGAGGCGGCGGCGGCCGCACCAAAAGGAGGCGAGUGUAGCACGCAGGUCCGACGAACGGGCUAACCGGCGCAGGUUUGAGAAGCUGCGGCCGUGUUAGUGUGACGAGUCGGGGCGGCCGGCUCCCGUCCGAGGACCGCGCCUCGUUCAGGCGACGAGCGGCGGCCACAUUGAGGUGACGAGCGGCGGCAGUACUCGGGAGAGUGAACAGACCCCGACCCGUGGCCACGUCAGGUUCUUUUAGUUAGAUCAGUUUCUUCUGCUUGCGGUUACCUCAAACGACCAACCAACGACGGGAGACCGAUACAGUAACGGCAGAACGACGCUACUGAAGCGGCAGUCCUUGCUCGCGCCGUUCCACUCUUAGCUCUAAACCGUUUCCCUUAGCCCCUUCUUCAAUGGAACAACGCAGUUCUAAGCGCGUCGGUGCACCGUGAGCUAACUCACCCAGAGGGCCGACUUUGCUAUGCUGGGCCAGCAUAUCCUAAAAGAAGGCACCUCCUUUGCCACUCCUUGGUGGGGACGGGGGCCGGGGGCGUACUAAAAGGACGCAUUAACCAGCUCGUCGGCUCGUCAGUCGUCAGUUAAGUAAGCGUCCGAAGCGGAAAGAGGAGGCGCAUGCUCGUUAUGGCCGAUACGGAGUCCGAGUGUACUUCGAGUCGACGAAGGAGGAGGAGGAGGAGCAGCGACAAUCGGAACGAUAGACGUCGCAGCCGGUCGUCAAGCAGAUGAGGUCGAAGCGGCCGCGGUUGUAGUGGGAGCCGCCGCGCCGGCGCCAGUGGUGUUGGCCAGAAGAGCUCGAGUGGUUGCCGUGCGAGGCGGUCUUCCGGGUGCGGUAGGUGGGCCGCGGCAAGGCGAAGGCGCUCGGCCGCCGCGCCUUGGCCUGCCACGCCAGCAAGAGCCGGAGGAAGCACAAGCCGUAGGAGACGGGGCUGUGGUUGUUGACGCCGGUACCGUAGCAGGACAAGCAGCGGGGCCCCCCGAAGUUGAAGAGGCGGCGCAAGGGCUCGGUUAUAGAGCCGGAACAAUUGUUGUCGUGGUUGCCGCGGCGGCGCUUGGUGUAGAAGCCGCAGCUUGAGCUGUGGCUGGUCUUGUUGCUCAAGGCGCUGUAGCUGCCGUUGGUGCAGCCGUAGCUGCAGUUGCCCGAGUGUAGGGAGCGCAGGUCGUCGCGGCCGAUGAAGCCGCUGCUGCCGUAGGAGGUGUUGGACUGCGAGCGUUCGCCGUGCCGCUACGUCCACACCCACCUGAUGCUGCCGCUUCUCUUUGACUAGUGGCACCGGUACCGACGGGACCCUUGCCGGUUUGGGCACUUCGGCGACGAGAGGUUCUGGACGCUGGAGAGUUGCCACGAGUGCCUGUGCCGCAUGCACCCGAAGAGCAGCCGGUGCCCAAGGAAGUUGAGCGUUGUGAUGCAAGAACCGACCUCAAAGCGCUACCUGCCUGGACGAGGCCGGUAGCUGUAGAGGUUCGACGGUUUCGAGGGAGCGAAGCCGGACUUCGCGGUAGGGUUCGAGCGUGUCUAGUAAGGUGGGCAUCGCUGCUGUCGCAAGUAGAAACGGCGCCCGUGGGAGUAGCAGGAGGAUUAUGCUGCCGCCGAGUUCAUGUCGCUCGAGGCCCUUCUAACCCUCCAGCUCAAGCCCGGCGUGGCCAAGAGGAUGUUCCUAGACAAAGCGCGGUGGCCACCCAAGUUCCUCUUCUUAGACGACCCACACCCUCCAAAGCCCUCCCAUAUGUUUCCCCACGAUGGCCGCGGGUUUGACCUCUAGCGGCACUUCUUCCACAGUGUACUGAGCUUUGUUCCGUACUUUCUCAAGUAGCGGCUCCAACACUCGUAACCCGCUGAUGUUGUAGCGUUAGAGCGAGUCAAUGUACCAAUAACGUCCGCAUUUCCACUUAACGAGAACCAUAUGCUCAUGUACAGUUUACCCUCGGAACUAUCCGUGAACAUACCGCUACCACUCUUCGGCCAAGAUCUAACCCUGUUUUCCAAGGCCUAGUAGUUCCCUUAACGAAGCCCCAACGAGAUGGAGGUACUCCUCACACUCUUUCAUUAGUAUGUGGCCCUGUAAUUUCGGUCAUUACACGAGGAGCUGUCACUCUACUUACCAGCUGAGCCGCUGAAGCCUGACCGUUCCAACAUACUGGCGCCGCGGUUGGGUGUUUGGUGUGUACACCAACCUUGGUAUCCUAUGGAUCGAGGUCUCGAGCCAGCGUGAUCGUUCCGUUGGGGGGACUGGCUGCACAAGCGGAAGCCGUAUAAGGAAGAACUCCAGUGUACACCUGUUUCCGGGUAAUCCGUUUUAAGUGUCCCGCUUGUUGAUUACGACCAGCUGACCCAUGAACUCGUAACCGUGUCUCCUAGUGAUCGACUUUGGCACCUAUGGUUCGAAGUAUCGAUGCUACGGCCACUCCGAACGGAUCGUAACUUCGAUCCUAAUAAUACGAGCGUAGGAGAGAGGUUAAGUUCCGGUCCUUACGCUGUCCAGCACUCCAUGGAAUUACUUCUGCACGUUGAUGGCCUCGAAUGCAACUGCUUACUCUCGAAGGUCUAAGAACGCGACUACGUCUUGCUUCCCAAACUGAGCAUGUAGUACAGAAUGGGAAGUAGCUACCUUUCACACUGGUGGAACAGGUCGGAACAUCUCCUUUGUACUGUAGCCAACACUACACACACUAAAAGGGAUACAUGAUUAUACAAAGAGAUACGAACUCGUUUACGUGCUUUAAUAUACCGACGAUAACUCCAUACACAUUGUGCAGUACACUACUUCACGUAGAGAAUGAAGUGACAAGUCUUCGUACACCUAAUUCAAUGUCGUUUUAUUUGAACCGAUAAACUCUAUCAAUCGUUCGAUUCUUUCCGAAAUACAUCUCAACAAUUUUAUCUGACUUAAAAGAAGCCAUGGAGGGUGGGAUGGGGGGUUUCUUUCAAACGUGCUUGGAAUUUCUAUGAAUUUUACUCAUCAAAACCUG